This is a non-coding RNA of Macaca mulatta (Rhesus monkey), 669 nucleotides long. Lineage: Eukaryota; Metazoa; Chordata; Mammalia; Primates; Cercopithecidae. The record is from RefSeq and is a predicted model, not a curated record.
UUUAGAGUGGUCUGUGGAAAACUAAAGUAAACAAGAAAAUAUCUAGGGAAGUUUAAGAAUGGGAGGAAAUGAGUCAUUGAUAAUAUGCUUGCUCCAGAGGAUAACCUUUGUACCAAACAGCAGAGAACUGACAUCUAAUCAGCAGAGGUUGGCCUUGGCAGUUUAUGAAGGAAUGUCCAGAGGGAGCACAGGGAAAGGCAGUCCAGUGAUCCUUCCCUGAAUUUUUUACUGUUCGAUGUCAGCCUUUAAUUCCCUUGAGAUGGGGGAAUUCAAAUCCUAAGGAUCCAUAAACAGCAAGGCUUUUGCAUUUACUAUAUUUAACAUCUUGGAAUUUAGUAAACAUCACUUCUGUGGAAAGCUACUGAUGGUGUUACACACUGGUCAAAACCAACUGGCAUGAGAACCCAGCUGGAAUCGUUUAUGAAAAAUUCCACCUUCUGAGGCACAGAGUCUAGCAGAGAAGAGCUGAAGAUGGCACUAGAAGACAACAAGUGGAGAAUAACCAGCAUACUUAUAACAGUGAAAUACAAGUGCCCCCUCAUCUCUGGGGGAUACGUUCCAAGACCCCUCAUGGAUAUCUGAAACUGCCGAUAGUACUGAACCCUAUGUAUACGAUGUUUUUUCCCUAUACAUACCUAUCUAUGAUAAAGUUUAAGUUAUUAAUAUAAA